This is an RNA transcript of Pan troglodytes (chimpanzee), 3403 nucleotides long. It is a transcript of the gene named TMEM51 antisense RNA 2, with no coding region annotated. The transcript has 3 exons. The record is from RefSeq and is a predicted model, not a curated record. Lineage: Eukaryota; Metazoa; Chordata; Mammalia; Primates; Hominidae.
GCUGGGAGAUGGAAGUGAAGCAGCGGCCAUUAGACUUUAGAGGUCAUCAUGAUUGGAUGAGGUCAUAGAAGUUUGGCUUCUCUCAUUGACCUGGAAGGAUGCCGUCAUCCACUCUGACCUGCAAACCUUUUGAUCUAAAACAGCGGUCUUCCAGGCGUGGCCCCAAAUCAACAGCAUCAGCGUCACCCAGGAGCUGCCUGAAGCCCUCUUGUGGGAAGCAAGUUUGUCUGCUCCUUUCUGUGAGACGUUCCCAGUCACUGGCUCACCCUGGGAGAGAGAGUACGCGUGUUCUAAGCUACCAACAGACUUCCUCAGAUGCAGUGAGUCAGUACAAACACACAGGCAAGGUUGAAGAACUCCAUGGCCUUCGUCUCUCUUGGCUCAGCGAGGCACAGUUCCUCUUAGCCCAAGACAAAACAGCCUAUGCUGUUAAAUCAGUGGUUCUACCAGCUUCCAGUCAUAAAACCAAGGGGCAAUAAUACAUAAAAUUGGAACUUAUACAUUCUGAGUUACAGCUAAUUGCAGAUGUAUCCAAGCUCAUUAUACAUUUAUCUACCAUUUGUCUGUAAAAGAUUGCCUCUACAGUCCUUCCUUCCUUCUUUUCUUCCCCAUUCCCCUUCUUUCUUUUGGUGCACAGACCCCUUUGAGAAUCUGAUGAAAGCUACUGACCUGCCACAGAAAAAUACAGAGAUAGAAUACUUGACAGAGAACGCUUGACAGACCAUUUCAGGUGGUUAGUGGGUCCUUAAAGGUGAUUGAGGACCCUCAUAGGAGUUAUUACAAGUUUGAAAUUACCCAACAAUUUCAUAAUGAUCCUGACCACUAUAAUACUUUAUUGCUUUGAUGACCACGCAAACAUCUAAAAGCAGCAUCUAAAAGCAUCAUUAUAUGCAGAGACAAUUUCUAGAAGUAUAUACAAGAAAUAGCAGAUGGUGGCUACGCUCGUAUAAGGGACUGGGAGACUGGAAUGAGAGGGAGAUGUAUAUUUUUUCAUUGGACAUCCUUUUACACCAUUUGAUUUUUUUAUACCAUGUGCAUAUAUUAGUUUCCUAAUUAAAGAAAAAGAGUUAAUGAAAAAGUUAUUUAAGUUAAGAACUAUCACUACUCAUUGUCAUUUCCAUGCCUGUGAUAUGGGAAAGGGAGAGUCAUCAAUGGGGAGGUGGUCAACCUCCUACCAGCAGGGUGAAACCCACAUCAGCUGGCAAAGUGAAAGCAUCACUCCAGAAAAGACAGAUGGUUUCACCGGGUCUUCAACAUAGGUCACUGAAGUUCCAAAUGGGAGGGGAGGAUAUUAUCAAUGUUUCAUUAGGUCCCUGCAUAGCCCUGGUGCUGGCUGGAGGAACUGGCCCUAACCUCCUAAGUUUAGUCAUUUCAUAUAAAGAUAAACAUACACUCACAUACAAACCCAAUAAUUCCACUCCUAGGUAUUUCCCCAAGAGAAAUGAAAACAUAUGUUGAUACUAAAACCUCUGAAUGUUUAUAGCAGCUUUAAUCGUAAUCACCAAAAAGUAGACACAAUCCAAAUAUCCUUUUAACAGGUGAAGGGAUAAGUAAACUGUGGUCCUGCACAUUCAUACCAUGGAAUAAAUGCAGUAUGGGGAAAUCUCAAAUGUAUUCUUUUUUUUUUUUUUUGUGAGAUGGAGUCUCGCUCUGUCGCCCAGGCUGGAGUGCAGUGGUGUCAUCUCGGCUCACUGCAAGCUGCGCUUCCCGGGUUCAUGCCAUUCUCCUGCCUCAGCUUUCCGAGUAGCUGGGACUACAGGCACCCGCCACCACGCCCGGCUAAUUUUUUGUAUUUUUAGGAGAGACGGGGUUUAACCAUGUUAGCCAGGAUGGUCUCGAUCUCCUGACCUUGUGAUCCGCCCGCCUCGGCCUCCCAAAGUGCUGGGAUUACAGGCGUGAGCCACCGCACCCAGCCAUCUCAAAUGUAUUCUACUGAGUAGAAGCAGCCAGACUCCAAAGGCACCAUACUGUAUGAUUCUAUUCACGUGAUAUCCUGGAAAGGGCAAAACUAUAAGGACAGAAAAAAGAUCAGUGGCUGCUGGGGGGUGGAGACAGGAAAGACUACAAAGAAGCAGCAGGAGAGAAUUUUGGGGGGUGAUGGAACUUUGCUACAUCUUGAUUGUGGUGGUGGUUACAUGACUGCUUGUAUGUCAAAACUCAUCGAACUGUGUUCAAAUGGAAAAUUACAUACAUAUAUAUAAAAUACAAUGCUGGGCGAGUAUUUUCUUUUCUUUCUUUUUUUGAGAUAGAGUCUCACUCUGCCAUCCAGACUAGAGUGUAGUGCUCUGAUCUUGGCUCACUACAACCUCUGCCUCCUGGGUUCAAGGGGUUCUCCUGCCUUAGCCUCCCGAGUAUCUGGGAUUACAGGUACCUGCCACCAUGCCCAGCUAAUUUUGUAUUUUUAGUAGAGACGGGGUUUCACCACGUUGGUCAGGCUGGUCUCAAAUUCCUGACCUCAAGUGAUCCGCCCGCCUUGGCCUCCCAAAGUGCUGGGAUUACAGCGUGAGCCACCGCGCCCAGCCUUGGGUGAGUAUUUUCUCACAGUUGCCUAUGAGUCGGCUGCUGUGGCUUCCACCAUGCUCCUAUCUCAGCUUCCUAAGUCUAAGAAGGGAGGCCCAGAUACUCGAAGUUUGAAGGGUAAACCAACCACCAGGAGUGGCAGCUGAUGUCUUCAAAGCUCUCUACAGUUCCCAAAGCACCUUGCCUGGCAGUAAUCCCUGUGGGAUGCAUAAGAAGCCUAUGGGUCUUCAGCACAGGUCAUUAAAGUUCCAAAUGGGAGGAGAAGGUGUUAUCAAUAACAGUUUUGUUAUGAAAACAAUGCUUGUUUAAGAAAUAAAAAUUAGUUAAAUAUAGAUUAGCAGAAAGAAUAUCGAAACCCCCCAUGGCUACCCCCAUCCAUAACUGCUGAUAAAUAUCUAUGAUGGUCUCCAUGCUUUCUUGUGUGCUGUGUAAACAAAAUACUUUUUUGUUUUUUACAAAAAUGGGAUAUUGCUGCAAUAUGUUUUAUAACCCUAACUUUUUUUUUGAGACGAAAUCUCACUCUGUCACCCAGGCUGGAGUGCAGUGGCGCAAUCUCGGCUCACCGCAACCUCCACCUCCCAGUAUAACCUUAAUUUUGAAAAAUUUGAUGUAUAAUGAACAAUCUUUCAUAUCAUCAGUAUUCAUCAAUACUGGAAUUUUUAGUGGUUGAGGACCACUUCAGUAUAUGAAAGAGCUGCAAUUUAUGUCACCAAUUCCCUGUUGCUGCAAAUAUAUUUGAUUUUUAGUUUUAUUGCUAUUAUAAAAAAUACUGUUGAAAUUAACUCUGUAUACAACCAUAAAUUGUUACCUCGGGAUAAAAUCUUGGUAUUGAAGAUAUUAAUAACAAGGUUGAAAUCUUGGAAUUAAAAGUGUUUUAAAGCUA